RNAcentral lists this ribosomal RNA (2875 nucleotides) under Parabacteroides distasonis. RNAcentral's name for it is "23S ribosomal RNA". It matches the Rfam family "Bacterial large subunit ribosomal RNA". Lineage: Bacteria; Pseudomonadati; Bacteroidota; Bacteroidia; Bacteroidales; Tannerellaceae. The record is from RNAcentral.
GAGAAAGUAAGCAAGGGCAGACGGUGGAUGCCUUGGCUCUCGGAGGCGACGAAGGACGUGAUAAGCUGCGAAAAGCUCGGGGGAGGCGCAAAUAGCCGUUGAUCCCGGGAUAUCCGAAUGGGGCAACCCGGCAGGCUGAAGGCCUGUCAUCCCGUAAGGGAGGCGAACGUGGGGAACUGAAACAUCUAAGUACCCAUAGGAGGAGAAAAUAAACAAUGAUUCCGUAAGUAGUGGCGAGCGAACACGGAAGAGCCCAAACCCAUGUCGUCUAGGCGACACGGGGGUUGUAGGACCACGACGUGGCAAGAUAGAGUCAAGUGGAACGCCUUGGAAAAGGCGGUCAUAGAGGGUGAAAACCCCGUACACGACUGACGAUUGAAGCCUAGUGGUAUCCUGAGUAGCGCGGGGCACGAGAAAUCUUGCGUGAAACAGCGGGGCCCAUCCCGUAAGGCUAAAUACUCCCGAGAGACCGAUAGCGAACCAGUACCGUGAGGGAAAGGUGAAAAGAACCCCGAGCAGGGGAGUGAAAUAGACCCUGAACCCGUCUGCCUACAAGCGGUCGGAGCAUAGCAAUAUGUGACGGCGUGCCUUUUGCAUAAUGAACCUACGAGUUACCUUCCCCGGCAAGGUUAAGUACCUAAGGUACGGAGCCGAAGCGAAAGCGAGUCUGAAGAGGGCGGCCAGUCGGGGGGGUAGACGCGAAACCGAGUGAUCUACCCUUGGCCAGGUUGAAGGUUGGGUAACACCAACUGGAGGACCGGAUGGGUAAGCGUUGAAAAGCUUUCCAAUGAGCUGAGGGUAGGGGUGAAAGGCUAAUCAAACUCGGAGAUAGCUCGUACUCCCCGAAAUGCAUUUAGGUGCAGCCUCUUUAUAGUAUAUCGUGAGGUAGAGCGACUGAUUGGAUGCGAGGGCUUCACCGCCUAUCAAGUCCAGAUAAACUCCGAAUGCGCGAUAUAUAUUUAAAGGGAGUGAGGGCGCGGGUGCUAAGGUCCGUGUCCGAGAGGAGAAGAAUCCAGACCACCGGCUAAGGCCCCCAAAUGAUCGUUGAGUUGAACUAACGAGGUCGGAUCGCAGAGACAGCUAGGAUGUUGGCUUGGAAGCAGCCAUUCAUUUAAAGAGUGCGUAACAGCUCACUAGUCGAGCGAUCUGGCGUGGAUAAUAAUCGGGCAUAAACGAUCUGCCGAAGCCGUGGAUGUCGUAAGACAUGGUAGGGGAGCAUUCCAUGCGGCGUCGAAGAUGAGGGACGACCCUUGUUGGAGCGCAUGGAAAAGCAAAUGUAGGUAUGAGUAACGAUAAGGGGGGCGAGAAACCCCCCCGCCGAAAGACCAAGGUUUCCUGAUCAACGCUAAUCGGAUCAGGGUGAGUCGGGACCUAAGGCAAAGCCGAACGGCGACGCCGAUGGAAGAAUGGGUUAAUAUUCCCAUACUGCCUCAUGGAGUGACGUGGAGACGGAGAAGUGACAGUCCUGCCGGCUGACGGAAUAGCCGGUUGAAGGGUGUAGAUAUUGAUUCCCGUAGGCAAAUCCGCGGGGAGAGUCGAACCUGACAGUAUACCGAGUACUUGUACGAGGUAAUAUGGACGUAACCAUGCUCCCAAGAAAAUCCGCUAAACUUAUCCAUGCGGCACCCGUACCGUAAACGGACACACGUGGUCGGGUUGAGAAUACUGAGGCGCUCGAGUGAUUCACGGUUAAGGAACUAGGCAAAUUGACCCUGUAACUUCGGGAUAAAGGGUCCUCGUCGUAAGGCGAGGCGCAGAGAAUAGGUCCAGGCAACUGUUUAACAAAAACACAUGGCUAUGCUAAAUGGAAACAUGACGUAUAUAGCCUGACACCUGCCCGGUGCUGGAAGGUUAAGAGGAGAUGUCAUCGCAAGAGAAGCGUUGAAUUGAAGCCCCAGUAAACGGCGGCCGUAACUAUAACGGUCCUAAGGUAGCGAAAUUCCUUGUCGGGUAAGUUCCGACCUGCACGAAUGGUGUAAUGAUCUGGACACUGUCUCAACCGUGAGCUCGGUGAAAUUGUAGUAUCGGUGAAGAUGCCGAUUACCCGCGAUGGGACGAAAAGACCCCGUGAACCUUUACUAUAGCUUUACAUUGAAUUUGGGCAGACGAUGUGUAGGAUAGGCCGGAGGCUUUGAAGGGGGUACGCCAGUAUCCUUGGAGCCGCCGUUGAAAUACGGCCCUUCGGUUGUUUGAGUUCUAACUCCUAGGCAGGAGGACACUGUAUGGUGGGUAGUUUGACUGGGGUGGUCGCCUCCAAAAGCGUAACGGAGGCUUCUAAAGGUGCCCUCAGACCGAUUGGUAACCGGUCGCAGAGUGUAAUGGCAUAAGGGCGCUUGACUGGGAGAGAUACAACUCGAUCAGGUAGGAAACUAGAGCAUAGUGAUCCGGUGGUUCCGCAUGGAAGGGCCAUCGCUCAAAGGAUAAAAGGUACUCCGGGGAUAACAGGCUGAUCAUUCCCAAGAGCUCAUAUCGACGGAAUGGUUUGGCACCUCGAUGUCGGCUCGUCACAUCCUGGGGCUGGAGAAGGUCCCAAGGGUUGGGCUGUUCGCCCAUUAAAGUGGCACGCGAGCUGGGUUCAGAACGUCGUGAGACAGUUCGGUCUCUAUCUAUCGUGGGCGCAGGAGAUUUGAGGGGCUCUGACACUAGUACGAGAGGACCGUGUUGGACGUACCACUGGUUUACCGGUUGUCCCGCCAGGGGCACCGCCGGGUAUCUAAGUACGGAUCGGAUAAGUGCUGAAAGCAUCUAAGUACGAAGCCGGCCUCAAGAUUAGAUCUCCCUCAAGGGUGGUUAUAGACGAUGACCUUGAUAGGCCACAGGUGUAAGGGCGGCGACGUCCGAGCCGAGUGGUACUAAUAGCCCGGGACUUUCCUCA